This 874-nucleotide long non-coding RNA is filed under the name Capsicum annuum. Its description in RNAcentral is "long non-coding RNA (CANN_LNC020052)". The record is from RNAcentral. Lineage: Eukaryota; Viridiplantae; Streptophyta; Magnoliopsida; Solanales; Solanaceae.
UCGGUUAUCUUAACUUUACCUAACACUUUCCUUUAAAUAAGUCCACACAUUAAAUAAAACACCCCACUUUUCUCCUAACUUUUCAUUUCUUCAUUCUCAAAAAUCUCAACAAAAAAAAAUUAACCAUCAAAAUGUCCAAUAUUUUCUCCAUAACUCUCUCAAUUUUCUUAAUUUCAUCAAUUUUCUUCCAUUUCUCCACAGCAUUAGGUGGUGGAGUUGGUGGUUGGACACCAAUAAAUGACUUAAAUGCCCUUGAUGUGGUGGCAAUUGGGGAAUUUGCUGUGAAUGAACAUAAUAAAGAAGCAGGGACAAAAUUGGAAUAUCAAAGUAUUGCAAAAGGAGAAAGUCAGGUUGUUGCAGGAACAAAUUAUCGACUAGUAAUUAAUGCUAAGGAUGGAAAUUAUGUACGUAAGUAUUUAGCAAUUGUUUGGGAUAAACCAUGGGAGAAAGUUAAGAAACUUACUUCUUUUAAACAAAUGUAAGAAGGGAUUCAGGAUCUCGAGUCAGUAGAUUCAGAAUAAACCUAAUUUUAUGAUAUAUGGAUGUUUUUAGUAUAUGUAUAUAUUGUUCGAUAUAUGUAUUUGUUAUGAUUUAGAGGGUUUAAGAUAUUGAGUCAGUGGAUUCAGAAUAAACGUAAUUUUAUGAUAUAUUAUAUGUUUUAAUGUUUUUGUAUGUGUAUAUAUUGUUCGAGAUAUGUAUUGGUUAUGAUUCGGAGGAUUCGGGAUCUUGAUUUAGUGGAUUCAGAAUAAAUGUGAUCUUAUGAUAUAUGGAUGUUUUAAUGUUUUUUGUAUAUGCAUAUAUUGUUCGAGAUAUGUAUUGGUUAUGAUUUGGAGGGUUUAAGAUAUUGCGUUAGUGAGAAUAAACGUGAUCUUAU